Long non-coding RNA from Sander lucioperca (pikeperch), 2174 nucleotides. RefSeq lists it as uncharacterized. Lineage: Eukaryota; Metazoa; Chordata; Actinopteri; Perciformes; Percidae. The transcript is spliced from 2 exons. The record is from RefSeq and is a predicted model, not a curated record.
AAGCAAAGCAGGGUGAAAGAAAUUUUGAAGCAAUUUGCAUUUAAAUUUAAAUACACAACAAAGUAAUAAAGAACUUGAAGAUAGGGGCUGGCGAUAUGGCAAAGAUAUUAUAUGAUUUUUUUCUGGCAUGAUCACGAUCCACCAUCUCAGCACAACUCUUUUUCAUGUUUAGUAAUUAUUUUCCCAAUUACUGAAUAGUACAACCACACUAAUAUCAUUAUUUAAAAAAAACUAUAGCCCUACAAGGUAACAAAAUACCACACCAAAUUGUGUCCUCAUAUUCAGUGCUCACUUUAAAGCCUCCGGCGAGAACAUAAACAUAUGAAAAUCAGUUUUAUUUUAUUCUCUCAUCUUCACCUCUCACCUGAGACACAGGUUUGCAGCCUGCAGUUCAGCGCGGCUGCUGGCACGCAUGAAUCACUCUCUUUUUCUCUCUGUCUUUUUUUAAAGGAGCCAGGAAGCCGACGGCAAAGCCUAACUUUACUUUCAAUUGUAUCAAACAAGGAGAAAUGUUCUCUUUUAAAAUGGUCAUAAAUCGAUACUAGAGUAGCCUACUUCCUUGUUUACUGCUGCACCUGCAAUGAAGGAAAUACAGAGGAGUAGAAAAGAGCAUCUGGCUCCACAACAUCAUCUGUUGAGUGUUUGAUUGUUAUUUAUUUAUGCUUUAGAGUGUAAUCGCUGUCAAUUCUAAAAUAUGCUUUAUUUCUCUCUCCCCUCGCCCAAGCUCGCAGUGCAAAUCUCUGCUGGCUGCAGAGAUCCUACUGUACUAUAGUAAUUUUUCCAUCUAAUUGUUAAGCGAAUUUUAACCAAACUUAUAAAAUGUCGCAAAAAAGAAAAUGCAAAUUAGAAGCGUUUCCAUCAACUGGUUUAGAGCGAAUAAACUAGACUACGCAAAGGGUAGUUUCGUCACAAGUUGACGUUACGCAUGGUUGUUGAUUGCAAACUGGCUUGCUAAAUCAAAGAGUUUAGAAGCUAAGUUCUUUGGCUAAAUGGAGAGAGGUAGCAUUGUACAAGUUGGCCACCUGUGCAGAAUACAGGGUUGUGGCAGAGACAUUUGGUGUCAGAGAGACAACCGUUCACCGCUGUGUAUACUCGGUGUGCAGGGCCAUACGAUUCAAGCUGUUGAACCAAUUUGUCAAUUUACCCGAUGUGGCUGAGGCACAGGCUAUAGCGCACCGCAACUCCACUACGCUCCUUGUUCCACAAGUGUACGGCGCACUGGAUGGGACUCAUUUCCUGAUCCUUCCCCCAUCCGAUGGAUACUGGGACUAUAUUCAUGUGAGUUUCAUGUUCGCUACGUCACAACUUAUUCGGCAAAGCUGUUUCCAUUUCCCAUUUUGCGCAUUAACUUUGCUAAUUUGAGGAAGUUUUUUUUUAAUUUUGCCGUUUCCAUCAACAUUUUCUAAUGCGAUACUUCAAAAUGCACAUAGAAAUACGUUGAUGGAAACCCCACUAAUGACGAAUUCAAGUAGCUACAAUUAACACUAGUUCUGAUGGUGUACAGCCGUUAAUAUAACACAUCCAUGUGUACAGUUGGACUGGAGUAGUCGACAACGUUAGCCGUUUACUAAAUAUGACAUGUAAACUGCCCCGCCCAUUUCCAACAUGUAAGGUAAUUGUUAUGCAUUGCUCCCUAGUUGUGCCAUUGGUGCUAUCUGAAAUUGCCUUGACCAGGGAUCAACCCGUGUUGACUGGCUUGGUUUGAAUUGCCAAAAUGAGGGUUGAACACAUGUCAGAUAAACCUGGUCCAACCCUGAUCAUUGGUGUGAAAGAGGUACAAGGUAAUCACUUUCUAAACAUUAUUCUAACAUAUAAUUGUAACGAUAUAGGAAUGUUCAGAAUAGGUAUUUAGUAAAAGUCAGGGCAACAGGGAAACAAUGACUAAAUAAUUAAAACAUUUUACCCCAACUUUGAAUGGUGUGGGCUAUGGCGGUUUGUUUGUCGGUUAAUAUUUUCAUAGGGGUUUAACAUUAGACGGAAGGUAAGCCAGGGGCUGCUUUGACUGUACCUUUCUGUUGUAACUCUGUCCUUUUGCCCUGUGUAUAGUUUCCAAUAAAACUGGAAUCAAGACACAGGUCUUGGGUUGGUUUGGUAAAAUAAUAGUUUAUACCAUAAUGGUGAGUAGAGUAUCUUUGAUGUUAAUCUGUGAUUACAAAAUACAAAGUUGGAAAGUA